RNAcentral lists this ribosomal RNA (440 nucleotides) under uncultured bacterium. RNAcentral's name for it is "partial 16S ribosomal RNA". It matches the Rfam family "Bacterial small subunit ribosomal RNA", at positions 338 to 795 of the family's 1533-position model. The record is from RNAcentral.
CCUACGGGGGGCAGCAGUGGGGAAUAUUGCACAAUGGGGGAAACCCUGAUGCAGCGACGCCGCGUGAGUGAAGAAGUAAUUCGUUAUGUAAAGCUCUAUCAGCAGGGAAGAAAAUGACGGUACCUGAGUAAGAAGCCCCGGCUAACUACGUGCCAGCAGCCGCGGUUAUACGUAGGGGGCAAGCGUUAUCCGGAUUUACUGGGUGUAAAGGGAGCGUAGACGGCAGUGCAAGUCUGGAGUGAAAGGCGGGGGCUCAACCCCCGGCCUGCUCUGGAAACUGUACGGCUGGAGUGCAGGAGAGGUAAGUGGAAUUCCUAGUGUAGCGGUGAAAGGCGUAGAUAUUAGGAGGAACACCAGUGGCGAAGGCGGCUUACUGGACUGUAACUGACGUUGAGGCUCGAAAGCGUGGGGAGCAAACAGGAUUAGAUACCCGAGUAGUC